AACGAACGCUGGCGGCAGGCCUCAAACAUGCAAGUCUAGGGGGUGUAGCAAUACAUCACCGGCGGACGGGUGCGUAACGCGUGGGAAUAUACCUAUCGAUUCGGAACAACUGAGGGAAACUUCAGCUAAUACCGAAUACGUCCUAACGGAGAAAGAUUUAUCGUCGAUAGAUUAGCCCGCGUUCGAUUAGCUAGUUGGUGGGGUAACGGCCCACCAAGGCGACGAUCGAUAGCUGUUCUGAGAGGAAGAUCAGCCACACUGGGACUGAGACACGGCCCAGACUCCUACGGGAGGCAGCAGUUGGGAAUCUUGGACAAUGGGGGAAACCCUGAUCCAGCCAUGCCGCGUGAGUGAUGAAGGCCUUCGGGUUGUAAACUACUUUCGCGCACGACGAUAAUGACGGUAGUGCGAGAAGAAGCUCCGGCUAACUUCGUGCCAACAGCCGCGGUAAU
Molecule: ribosomal RNA, 452 nt
Filed under: uncultured bacterium
Lineage: Bacteria
Description: bacterial SSU rRNA
Rfam family: Bacterial small subunit ribosomal RNA
Source: RNAcentral